GAUGAACGCUAGCUACAGGCUUCACACAUGCAAGUCGAGGGGCAGCAUUUUAGUCUGCUUGCAAACUGAAGAUCGGCGACCGGCGCACGGGUGAGUAACACGUAUCCAACCUGCCGAUAACUCCGGAAUAGCCUUUCGAAAGAAAGAUUAAUACCGGAUGGCAUACGAAUAUCGCAUGAUAUUUUUAUUAAAGAAUUUCGGUUAUCGAUGGGGAUGCGUUCCAUUAGUUUGUUGGCGGGGUAACGGCCCACCAAGACUACGAUGGAUAGGGGUUCUGAGAGGAAGGUCCCCCACAUUGGAACUGAGACACGGUCCAAACUCCUACGGGAGGCAGCAGUGAGGAAUAUUGGUCAAUGGGCGAGAGCCUGAACCAGCCAAGUAGCGUGAAGGAUGAAGGCUCUAUGGGUCGUAAACUUCUUUUAUAUGGGAAUAAAGUUUUCCACGUGUGGAAUUUUGUAUGUACCAUAUGAAUAAGGAUCGGCUAACUCCGUGCCAGCAGCCGCGGUAAUACGGAGGAUCCGAGCGUUAUCCGGAUUUAUUGGGUUUAAAGGGAGCGUAGGCGGAUUGUUAAGUCAGUUGUGAAAGUUUGCGGCUCAACCGUAAAAUUGCAGUUGAUACUGGCAGUCUUGAGUGCAGUAGAGGUGGGCGGAAUUCGUGGUGUAGCGGUGAAAUGCUUAGAUAUCACGAAGAACUCCGAUUGCGAAGGCAGCUCACUGGAGUGUAACUGACGCUGAUGCUCGAAAGUGUGGGUAUCAAACAGGAUUAGAUACCCUGGUAGUCCACACAGUAAACGAUGAAUACUCGCUGUUUGCGAUAUACAGUAAGCGGCCAAGCGAAAGCAUUAAGUAUUCCACCUGGGGAGUACGCCGGCAACGGUGAAACUCAAAGGAAUUGACGGGGGCCCGCACAAGCGGAGGAACAUGUGGUUUAAUUCGAUGAUACGCGAGGAACCUUACCCGGGCUUAAAUUGCAAAUGAAUUAUGGGGAAACCCAUACGCCGCAAGGCAUUUGUGAAGGUGCUGCAUGGUUGUCGUCAGCUCGUGCCGUGAGGUGUCGGCUUAAGUGCCAUAACGAGCGCAACCCUUAUCUUCAGUUACUAACAGGUCAUGCUGAGGACUCUGGAGAGACUGCCGUCGUAAGAUGUGAGGAAGGUGGGGAUGACGUCAAAUCAGCACGGCCCUUACGUCCGGGGCUACACACGUGUUACAAUGGGGGGUACAGAAGGCCGCUACCUGGUGACAGGAUGCCAAUCCCAAAAACCUCUCUCAGUUCGGAUCGAAGUCUGCAACCCGACUUCGUGAGGCUGGAUUCGCUAGUAAUCGCGCAUCAGCCAUGGCGCGGUGAAUACGUUCCCGGGCCU
Molecule: ribosomal RNA, 1360 nt
Filed under: uncultured bacterium
Lineage: Bacteria
Description: bacterial SSU rRNA
Rfam family: Bacterial small subunit ribosomal RNA
Source: RNAcentral